UCGCGCAGACUCUGUGCCUGCUUCCCCCGCCCAACCAUUUCCUCUCAGCCAAUCCUCGACCAGUUCUCCCAUGAUGGACAGCCAAUAGUCACCAAUAAUUGCGAGUGAAGAGGAGCACUUUGAUGGUGGAGGGGGAACCACCAGCGGGUGGUGUCUGAGGAGCCCCAGAACGCGAGAAGGCCCAGCUGUGUCUGCCGGGCAGGGUGGGGACUGCUGCCGGCUCGCUGCAGACACCCAUCUGCUCUGGCCUGCAGCCCUGCUCACUCUCUCCUUGGAGGAAAACAGCCCUGCUGUUUGGACAUUCCACCUGCAGAGGAUCGUGUUCCCUUCAAUCCGAUAGUGCGCUGAGGCACACGUACAGAUUCCGAUGCGAACUCGUCUGGCACUCCCAGGAAAAGUCCAUCUUGGUCCUGAUGUACUUACAUUUUACUUUGUAUCAAAGGCUGGAUUCUGCUUGCUAAUAUUUUGUUUAUGAUUUUUCAUCUUUGUUUAUGAGUGAGAUAAAUUGAAUUUUUCUUCCUCAUGUGGUUUGUUUCUGGGUUUGGCAUCAAUGUUAUACCAGUCUCAUGGAAUGGAAGAAUUUGGAUAAGACUGGAAUGAUCUAGGCUUGGAGCUUUCUUUAUGGGAAGCUGUUAAUUCUUAUAUGUUUUAAGUAGUGGGGCUCUUUGAAUUUUGAAUUUGUUCCUCAGUAAGUUCAAUUAUUAUAGUUAUUUUUAGGAAUUUGUCUAUUUCAUUGUAAAUUUAAAAUGUAUUGUCAUAAGGUUCUCAUUAUAUUAUUUUAUUAGUAUUUUCAUCUGAAACAUAUCUAUUU
This is a long non-coding RNA of Manis javanica (Malayan pangolin), 811 nucleotides long. RefSeq lists it as uncharacterized. The record is from RefSeq and is a predicted model, not a curated record. NCBI's taxonomy places the organism in Eukaryota, Metazoa, Chordata, Mammalia, Pholidota, Manidae.